GAUCAUGGCUCAGGAUGAACGCUAGCUACAGGCUUAACACAUGCAAGUCGAGGGGCAGCAUUAUCGAAGCUUGCUUUGAUAGAUGGCGACCGGCGCACGGGUGAGUAACGCGUAUCCAACCUUCCCCUUAGUAGGGCAUAGCCCGUAGAAAUGCGGAUUAAUACCCUAUGUUGUAUUAUGAGGACAUCUGAAAGAUACCAAAGGUUUACCGCUAAGGGAUGGGGAUGCGUCUGAUUAGGUUGUUGGCGGGGUAACGGCCCACCAAGCCUGCGAUCAGUAGGGGUCCUGAGAGGAAGGUCCCCCACAUUGGAACUGAGACACGGUCCAAACUCCUACGGGAGGCAGCAGUGAGGAAUAUUGGUCAAUGGGCGAGAGCCUGAACCAGCCAAGUAGCCGUGCAGGAUGACGGCCCUAUGGGUUGUAAACUGCUUUUAUACAGGGAUAAAGUCGGGGACGUGUCCCCGUUUGUAGGUACUGUAUGAAUAAGGACCGGCUAAUUCCGUGCCAGCAGCUGC
Molecule: ribosomal RNA, 515 nt
Filed under: uncultured bacterium
Lineage: Bacteria
Description: bacterial SSU rRNA
Rfam family: Bacterial small subunit ribosomal RNA
Source: RNAcentral